CCUACGGGUGACAGCAGUGAGGAAUAUUGGUCAAUGGCCGGAAGGCUGAACCAGCCAAGCCGCGUGAAGGACGAAGGUGCCAAGCAUUGUAAACUUCUUUUGUCAAGGGACAAAAUCAGGCUCGAGAGCCUGACCGAGGGUACUUGAAGAACAAGCAUCGGCUAACUCCGUGCCAGCAGCCGCGGUAAUCCGGAGGAUCCGAGCGUUAUCCGGAUUUAUUGGGUUUAAAGGGUGCGUAGGCGGGCUGUUAAGUCAGCGGUAAAAGCCCGGGGCUCAACCCCGGCGAGCCGUUGAAACUGGCUGGCUUGAGAGGGCGAGAGGUAGGCGGAAUGCGCAGUGUAGCGGUGAAAUGCUUAGAUAUUGCGCAGAACUCCGAUUGCGAAGGCAGCAUACCGGCGGCGAUCUGACGCUGAGGCACGAAAGCGUGGGUAUCGAACAGGAUUAGAUACCCGUGUAGUC
RNAcentral lists this ribosomal RNA (459 nucleotides) under uncultured bacterium. RNAcentral describes it as "partial 16S ribosomal RNA". It matches the Rfam family "Bacterial small subunit ribosomal RNA", at positions 338 to 795 of the family's 1533-position model. The record is from RNAcentral.